ACAAAGAAGGAUCCAUGAAAAGAGUAUGAAAUUUGCUAAAUGAGAUUUAGAAAAUGAACAUAGAACCUAGGAAGCUCAAGAAACACAAAGAGUGAGGAGUAUUGAGUGAGUUGCUGGUAUUUAUAGACUACAAACUUACAACAAUGGGGCUGGCUCCUUAAUUAAUUUGGUUUUAUCUGGGGUUUGCACACCCAGUGGAAAUUUAUCGGGCUAAUUUGUGGUGAUAAAUUUUAUUAGGUAAACAAUAAAGAAAUGAAAUGAUUUUGGCAAUCAUUUUUUCUCCCCUUUAUUCAUUUUUUUUAGCAGUCGAAUUGAAUAAAUAAAAAGAAGAAUUAUGGGAGGGAAACAAAGGAUUAAUUAAAACUUAGUUCUUAAGUUUAUAAUUAAUUUAUAAGGUAUGCGGGUUAACCUAAACGCGAUAUGUUUAUAAUAAACGACAAGUAAGUUCAGAGUUACGUCAUUUAACACGAUUAAAUUAGGUUCUUAUCCUUCAUUUUGCUACUCUAUUGAUUAAAAUCCUAUUCAUUUUCAAUUUUUGAUCAAGGUCCUUAGGUAUUAAACAUCAUUAAUUAUUUCAAUAAUAAAAUUUUUUUUUAUUUCUAAAUAUAUUCAUUUAAUGUUAAAAAUGUUACAAUUAGUAUAUUUAUAUUUAUGACUAAAUUGUUUUAUCAUAUAUUUUUAGUUUUAGUUUGUACCCAUUUUUAAUUUGUAAUUCUUUUUUUAAUUUGUACCAAUUUUCUUUUCAGUUUUAAUUUGUACCCAUAUAUUAAUUUCUUUUUGUGCCCAUAUUUUUAAAAGUUUAUUUGUAUUUGUACCCAUAUUUUUUUUAUUUGUACUUUUUAUUUUGCUAAAUGUACUCAUGCUAAUUAUAUGUACCCAUUCAUGUAAAGCUUUUUAAUCUUAAAAAGUACUCAUUCUUAAAUAUACCAAUUUGUUAUAUGUAAAAUGUACCUUUUUUUAUAUAAAAUCUAUUCAAUUUUUUUCUAAUCCAUUUUUAAACUUAUAUGGGUACAUUAAUUCUUUAUUCUUUGAUUUUAAAAUGUAUCCAUGUCAAGUUUAAUCGAAGAAAUUUACUAAUGUUAUUAAGCCUAAUAUCUUUUUUUUUUUUUUUUUUUUUUUUGUGAUUUUGAAGAAUGUACCCAUGUUUUGAUACAAUAAAUUUUUUGGUUAAUUUUGAUGAAUGUACCCAUGUUUAUACACACACACACACACAAUAGUAUAUUUAUAUUUUAAUCUUUUUAAUCCCACAAAUUAUGGUUUUUUAUUUAAAAUCUCAUUUAUAUAAACAACUAAAAUUUUUAAUUUUUAAUUUAAAAAUAUAGUAACGUACAUAGAAAUAAAUUACCACAUUAAUUUCAAGGACCUCGAUCAAAAGUUAAAAACCAACAAGGUUUCAAUCAAAGAACAUUCAUAGCUAAGGACCACAUCCAAAGUCUCCCUUAAUUAAAUGUGAUGAAAAAUGACAAAUUUUCCCUACAAAUCCAAGUAAUAGUGAUUAUAGAGUUGAAUGUAAUAGACAUAUACUGAUUAGGUGAUAUAAAUAUGUGAUUUCCCUAAUAUUACUCAUUACAUUAUUAUAAAUAUGUGAUUUCCCUAAUAUUACUCACUUAGUACUACAAUUUAGUGAUAUUCCUUUUCACUUGUAAGUAAGAGGUCUUAGGUUCGAUUCUCGCCAAAGACGAAUUUGAACCACACUAUUGCUAGCCUCUUGUGAGGCUAAGCCUACAUCUUCCCGCUUAGUGUAGAUAAUAUCAUAAUAUCAUUUGUUUAAAAAAAAAAGAUAAUAUUUUUUUGUUAUAAAAAAAAAAAAACAAAGGCUGGUGGGAGGUUGAUAAAUAAACAUGCCUUUGAUGAAUAUAGAUUAUUAGUUAUUACAAUAAUAAGACUUGUGUACAAAACCAUUUCAUAUAUAUGUCUUACAAUCUAAUAUAUCCCACAUGACUGUAUGAUGAAUGAUGGCAAUCUAAGUUCCUUGACCACAUAUAAUGUAUUAGAAAUACAAAAAUAAGGGAGGUCUCAUGUUUGAGGCUCCAAGAUGCUGAGUUUGCUUGAUUGUGGUCGAGGAAGGCUAAAAUGUCUCUGUGAGUCUUUUCAGCCCUCAGAAGGGGUGAAUAAUCGUGGCUAGCCACCAGUCCUUUUUUUUUAAAGGAAAAAAAAUGUAUUAGAGAAAUAUUUUAAUUUAUAAUAAGUCUAUCUGUUACGUCACAGUCGUUGCGUGACUUAUCAUUAAUUAUGAGAAAUCGAACAGUUGUCACGUGACUUAUCAUUAAUUAAGAGAAACCGAACAUCUUUAAUAGUAUGAAUGUCCUUACAAAUGAAAAUAAAUAUUGCAUCUUGAUUCUUUUUAAACUUAAAUAGGGUCGGAUUUUCAAUUAGUAUCUUUCUUUUUAGCUAGAGAUUUGAGGAUUGCAGAUUUAAUCAUGUUUAGCCGGAAUUGAAUUGUGUUACUGACUUUUUGACUCAGUUUGGGCACGAUCAAGAUUUGGACUUCACAACUUUUGUGAACCUUAGAGUGGUUUAGUUUAUAAUUUAGUCUUUUAGGAGAUGGAUUAGAAUGACCUUUUUAGGGCCAGACAAUGAUUAUGUUUGGCUUCAACACCCUCUUUAGCGAAAACAAAAUAAUAAUUUCCUUCUCUUUAUCCUACUAUUCAUUUUUGCCAUUUAGAAGAUUACGAAAGAACACCGAUUAACUCACUCAAACUUUUUAUCUUUACAUGUCACAUGAAAUAUCUGAGCAAGAACACUGAGCUAAUCCUCAAUAAACUUUUUUUAACAAACGAUAACGGUAAUGAGUUAAAUUGUUAGUUGUUAAAGGAGAGAGGGAUUGGUGGGAUCGAUAAAUAUCUUCCCUCUUUUCUUCAGUUAAUCGAGCAGGCCCAAACAGUUACAAUCAUUGAUGCACAGCUUAUGGUACCAAGUAUCAUUUCCAAUAUUCAAGUUUAACAGCAUCAAAACUCAAAUGCCAAAAAUAACAUUCAAUCCAAAAUUGACUAGCAAUUACUGAUUCCGAAGCACUACCAAAGACCUCCUCCUUCGGGUUAAACCCGCUGUAUGUAUCAGUUUGUUCAUCUUACACUAACUUGUUAAACUAUUCAUUUUUGGAAGCUUUGGAAACUAACAUGUGCCACUAACUAGAAAAUACCAACUCACAACACCAUAGGUGCAUGCACUAGCAUCAAGCAAAGAUCCGUGAUUUAACGCUUCUUCUUGCUUCCUUUUGCAGCACCGGAUUUGGAUGGACUGGCAACCAGGUACACAAAUAGAACCACGAUGGAGACAACAGAGAUCAGAGACCCGUACUUUGCCAGAAACCUCUGCAUAUAAGAAAAGGUCGAGAUGUUAGGGAUGAAGCAAAGGAAUGUUCAGUUCAGAAAAUAUUGUAAAGUUCGUGAUGACUUUGACAAAUUCAGAGAACAAAAGAUUCAACAGCAUAUAAAAGAGUAUUUCAUACCUUAACCUGAAAAGUCAGGCCCCCAGCAGAGAUAAUUUCAUGAAACCACAAAACACCACCUCAGUUAACACCGUAAAAGUUGUCCGAAAUCAGAUUGCAUAAUAUAACCCUUAUUUAAUGGAACUUACCCACUGAAACUUCUUCUCAGGAGGCCUGUCUGCCAGAACAUCCAAAGGAAAUAUUGGAGUUGAAUAAGACUCCUAUAAGAAACAGAAAAAAGUC
Molecule: long non-coding RNA, 3673 nt
Filed under: Malus domestica (apple)
Lineage: Eukaryota; Viridiplantae; Streptophyta; Magnoliopsida; Rosales; Rosaceae
Description: long non-coding RNA (MDOM_LNC017134)
Source: RNAcentral